AUAAUGAUACUUCAAUAGUUUAAGCUGCCUCGUCUGGAACAAGGGGCAGAGGUGAGAUUCCUAUGU
This is a regulatory RNA element of 66 nucleotides. It matches the Rfam family "pemK RNA". The record is from Rfam.